RNAcentral lists this long non-coding RNA (789 nucleotides) under Pan troglodytes (chimpanzee). Its description in RNAcentral is "lincRNA". The record is from RNAcentral. Lineage: Eukaryota; Metazoa; Chordata; Mammalia; Primates; Hominidae.
AGAAGAAGCAAACAGCCUGCAGAUGGGACACCUAUUCACCCCUGAUGCAAGUGUGACUGGAGCUAUUGAGUGACUGAUGAGAUCUGUUGUAACAAUCAUUCUGGCAAAGGUGUGGAGAUGGCUCAGAGGAUUGAGCUGGGAGCAGGGUGGCCUCAGCCACAUGUGCUACCAUGGCUCUGAGCAGGAUGCCAAGAGGGUCUAACAUCCCUGAAAGAGACAGCCUCUUGCCCUGGAAAGAUGCCAGAGAGGGAAGCAGGAGACUUGAGUUCUGAUCCGGAUCUCUCUGCCGUUGGGUGAUCCCCUGCCCUCCUCUGGACCUCAGUUUCCCCAUCUCUACGGUGAGGAUAAUAAUCCUAGUGCUAUUUCCCCAUAGAAAUGUUGUGAAGCCCAAAGGUGAGACCAAAAUCACUCAUUGGACAAACUCCAGGCAGGGUGGGAGUGUUGGCUGGGUAGAUGUGGUCAUCUGCCAAGUGGCCAUGCUGAGGCUUUGGGGGCUCUACUCCCACCACCAAUGGGGUCCUUCUCAGAGACUUGCACUCUCUUCUUCCAGCUCACUCAUAUUGUGGGGCUCAGAGAAUGUUAAUUAUUAGGGCCCAGCCCACAUGGAGGGCUUAAGAUGAAAGCAAGCUCAGAGUGUAAAGUCUAAUCAAUGCCCCACACUUGGCGUCAGGGCCUCGGCUUGGUCUGCUUGGAGAUGGAUCAUUAAUCUAGACACUCCGACUUGGAACACUGGGCACAGGAAGUCCUGAAAUAUUCCUGACCACCCACAGCUCAGUCUGUCAGCCCCAC